UUUUUUUUUUUUUUUUUUUUUUUUUGUCUUUUUAGGGCCCACCUGCAGCAUAUCGAGGUUCCCAGGCUAGGGAUUGAAUCAGAGCUACAGCCACUGGCCUACACCACAGCCACAACAAUUGGAGCUGCUUCUGCGACCUCCACCACAGCUCAUGGCAAUGCCAGACCCUUAACCCACUGAGUGAGGCAAGGAAUGAAACCUGCAUCCUCAUGGAUGCUAGUCAGAUUCGUUUCUGCUGUGCCAUGACUGGAACGCCCCUAUUCCAUUUUCAAGUCAUUUGAUAAUGCUAUUUUUCAUUUCAGUCCUACUGAAAGAAACAACAGAAAAUUUCAGAUUAUCCGAAAGGCCUUGCUAUUGCUCCUCUAAAGCUGAUGUUUCUAUAAACGCUACACUCAAGUGUUACGAUCUAGGCUCAUCUGGGCAAUUUUAUGGGGUGUUUUUAGAGGUAAAGUGUAUUGCCAGGUGCUGAGGACAAAUUUUAAGAGGUGAAGGGGAAAACAGGGUAAAGAGGCAGAAGUUGCAAACUUUUUAUGGGAAAGAAUGAUGGAAAGAAUCCCUGCCUGGUUGUACUAUGAAGCCCUGGACAUACCUAUAAAAUUGACAAAGGGAUGCCAUGGCCAGAACUGAGGUGCAGAAGUGUCAGGUGCAAGAGAGAUGCCUUGGGACACAGGUGACCAAAGGGGAAAUAUCACUGGGGGGGGAGGGGGACAGGCUUCUUUCCUCCUCUUGGGAGAGGUUUCUGAAUGGAGUUUUAGAGUGCAAACACUUCCCUUAUUUUAUAUGAAGAAACUGAGGAGUGAUUGGCACUGGAUAGUCCCAGGACACUGGUAGAACUAUCCUGCACCUUUUUGUCCCCCUCCCUCCCUUCCUUCCUUUCUCUUCUUCUUUUGCUUUUUAGGGCAGCACCUGCAGCAUAUGGAAGUUCCCAAGCUAGGGGUCGAAUCAGAGCUACAGCUGCAGCCACAGCCACAGCCACAGCAGAUCCAAGCCCUGUCUUCGACCUACACUGCAGCUCACAGCAAUGUCAGAUCCUCAACCCAAUGAGUGAGGCCAGGGAUCGAACCUACAUCCUCACGGAUGCUAGUCAAGUUCUUAACCCGCUGAGCCACAACAGGAACUCCUAUUGUGCACCUUUUUGAACUUCCAGAGCAGUAUUGAGGGUAAAAAAGAACUCUAGAAGAGAAGGUGGGGCAAUUUCAGCCUCUCUAUUCCAUCUACCUUUUAUCCUAUCAGCUCUGAUUAAGCACCUAGCUGGGGAACCAUUAAACUGAUUGGUCCAGCAACUCAGCACUUAGAGCCCCCCAAGGCUGCCAAGUGUGGAGGAUUUGACAAAACCACGGAGGGUUGGCCCAGUCAUUGUGAAUAGUCAGCAGAUGUCUGAAAAAUAUGAUGCAAGUCAGUAUUUUGAGCCAAGAGUGCUAGCACUUUGAGUAAGUACUUGCUGAAAUGAAUAAACAUGCCAUUGCAAUUAAGGGCUUUAGAAGAAGAGUUGGAGCCUACACGAAGUUAGCAUUUUCCAUUGGAAGCAAACAUUUGGAGAUCAAUGAGCUAAGGAUCUGGAAAGACAGAAGUCUCUUUGGCCCAGCUUGCACUAGAGGUAGCAUGGAAAUAAUCUGAGGCAUGCAUCUUUAUCUCUCUCCCUCUCUCUCUCUCUCUUUUUUUUUUUUUUUUUGGCUGUGCCUGCAGCGUGUAGAAGUUCCCAGGCCAGGGAUUGAACCUGUUCCACAGCAGGGACCAGGGCUGCUGCAGUGAUAGUGCCAGAUCCUUAAUCUGCUGGGCCACAAGGGAACUCCAGCAUCUUUAUCUUUUACCAUUUCCUUGGGGGUACCAAGAAAGCCACUUAGCUGCCACUUAGCUUCAUUAAAGCCAACCUUGCAACCAUUCCACGCUUCCACCUAGCCAGUGUCUGUCCUGCCAUUGCAAGUCUAUUUCCACCCCCCCCUCGCCCCGCCGCCGCCCCCACCUAGCAGCAGGUACAUUACAUCCUGCUUUAGAAGCCCAGUUCUAGGUAGAUAGCGGGCCAUCAAUGAUCUAUCAGCUAGAUCAUUCUGACCCCUGAAACUUUUCCUCCCCAGUUUUCCAUUUAUCUCUUAACUCCCCUUUUAAAGCUCUCGUAAACAUAUUUUCUUCUGUUAAUGAUUUUUGAAGCCCGUAAGUUUUGCCUCUGGAAAUUUAGAAAAGUCAACAUUUACUUGGUGCCAGUCCUGGGGGCUGUUAUCAACCACAGUGAGCCAAGUCUUUCGUCUUUUCCUCAGCAUUCCUUCAAUACAAACGCCACUUCAAUAAUCUGCUCUUAUUAAUAGCAGUCUUUGUAAAUAAAACAGUUAUAAAGGAUUCUUUAGCUGUCUCCCAAGUAUUUUACAUCAGGUCCUGAAAUUAAAUUGAUUUUACACCAGAAUUCCACGUUCUUUUUCCAGCACUCUCCCCCCCACACACUGCUCCUCCCCUCACCCCAUUCAAAACAUUAUUAAAUGUUACGGUAUCUUGGCAUGUCAAAAACUCAUCCUUUGUUUGCUGGAAACAACAACCACUGGGGCAUUGCAAGCAAAAUUUAAAUGGUAACAUGGGAGUUCCCACUGUGGCUCAGGGGUAAUGAACCUGACUAGCAUCCAUGAGGAUGUGGGUUUGAUCCCUGGCCCUGCUCAGGGGGUUGAGGAUCCCUCGUUGCAUUGAGCUGUGGUGUAGGUUGCAGAUGAGGCUUGGAUCUAGGUGUGACUGUGGCUGUGGCGUAGGCUGGAAGCUGUAACUCCAGUUCAACCCCUAGCCUGGGAGCCUCCAUAUGCAGCAGGUGCAGCCCUAAAAAGAAAAAAGAAUUAAAUGGCAACAAACCAGAGAACUGGAAGGAAUCUUCUAUUGCUGGAGUCCUAUCUGCACCCAGGCAGUAGAGAUGUGGCUUCAGGCAGGCUCACAGCCCAGCCUGGGCAAGCUGGAGGCAGAGAAGAGGCAGCAGAAAUAACUGUCAGCAAACCCUGCUUGGUCUCAGAGGAAUACAGCCAGGAGCACAAAGGAAAUGAGUCCUACCACUGGGCUGGAUAGGUGUGCUAUUCUUGGCCUUUAAAUCUUCCAUGGAAAAACAGUUGAGAAAGUUCUGUGAAAGCCGGUUCCACGGAGAAUAGUCCUCUUCCAUAGAUGCCUUUGUACUCAGAGUUUCAGGGACUCUGCUAGAUUUUUCCCUUCCGUGGAGUGAAGGAGGGAAUACAAAACUAUCAAAAAGUGGUUUGGUUCAUUUACAAAAGUCUUGGGGGGGGUUUCGUAACAGAAAAACCCUUAGAAAGUAACCCCGAAGUAGGUCAGGUACAAAAAUAGUAACCAGCUCAAUUCACUUUUAACUGCUUAGGUUUUACUCUGGAGGCUGCCAUUUGGUUGAUGGGUAACCUCCACAUGUGGGCUUUUACUGAUAAGCCCCCAAGGAGAGUUCCACCUCUUUCUUCCCCUCUCCAACCCCUGCUUCUGGCACUCUAUGCUGUUUAACAGAAGUAACAGCUAGUUCACGAGAAAAAAACAAAAAAAACCCACAAAAACAAAACCAAAACCCCAGAACAGCCAAUACUGGGCAUCUACUGAACUGUGCUUGGUGUAGCUGAGACACAUUCUCCACCCUCAAAUAAUUCACCAUCUGGCAUAAAGAAAGACAUGCAAAGAGAUAUUAGGAAUACAGUAAGAGGUGCUAUGUCUAUGCAGCGUUAUUCUGGGCCAGGAAGAAAGAAACGGUCCAUUCCUCCUGCAGAGCUGGAGAGGCUUCCCUGGCUGGUCUUGAGAGAUGGAGGGGACUUCUUGAAGCAGAGUCUCAUCUUGUAUAUGUGUGCAAGUGUGUAAGUGUUUGUGUAGGGGGGUGGCUGCAAGCAAAACCAGCAGCCAGCAUGAGACCUUCAGGACCUGAACUAACUUAGUCUGUUGGAGGACUGACCAGUAGUUUAAAAUUGCUGGCGCGUAGGUUGUGCGAGAGAACGGAGCAGGAGAGAAGCCUGGAGAGGUGAGCAGGGUCCAGACUGUAGAGGACUUGGAUACCAUUCUAAGGGCUUGGACUUUAUCCCGCAGGCGGUCGGGAGACACUGCAGGGUUUGAAGCAGGGAGGUGGCAUGAUCAGAUUUGUGCUUGGAAAGAUUUUUCUGGUAGUACCAGAACCAUGGGAUAAGCUUUCACAGUCAGUGCAUUUGCCAAAGCUUUUCUGAUCAGCUUAUUGAAUUCAGAAUCUCAAGACAUCUACGUUUUCCCACAUAGCUUUGACAUGGCAUGCCGAUUUAUUUUCUUCCUUUUUUGUGCACACACAUGCAUGUCUGCAUCCCCAUUAUAAUCCCAAUUAUCCACUCCUUCCCCCCAAACAGAGGCUUUUAAAUUGCUGGGUAUGAUGGAAAACUGGGAUUGGGACAGGAUUUUAACAAUCUGUUAGUAUACACGUCCCUGACCUUGGAAGUUGGUUCAGUUUGCUGGGAAGGCACAUGAAUUUUACCCCAUUUUCCUAGGUUUCUUUUUUCUUUCUUUCUUUCUUUCUUGCAUUUUAGGGCAGUACUCAUGGAGAUUCCCAGGCUAGGGGUCGAAUCAGAGCUACAGCUGCUGGCCCCAGCCCCAGCCCCAGCCAUGCAGGAUCCCAGCUGUGUCUGCGACCUCCACCACAGCUCAUGGCAGCACUGGAGCCUCAACCCACUGCGCAAGGCCAGGGAUCGAACCCGCAACCUCGUGGUUCCUAGUCCAAAUCGUUUCUGCUACACCACAACGGGAUCUCCUCAGAGACCCGCUCUUGACGCAAUUCCACCAACUAAAGAAAACUUAAGCCACCUGGUUCCCCACCUCACAUGCAAAGACCAGGACUCUAGAGGAUUCUUAAUUCCAAAUUAAGGAAUAAUUUGGUUUCCACGGUUCAGAUAGUUCCAAUAAAAGAUGUCCCUGUGUCAACAAAUUUCAUCCCUCAAUUUUUGUGGCAAGUCCCUGUCCAUUUGACAUUUGGCAGCUGGUGGUGGACAUGGCAGUAGAGGUGGGGGUGGAGAUGGUGGCGGGGGGGGGCGGUCGUGGGGGCAAACAGUUGAUCCAGAAACAGGAUGCCAAUCAAACACCUCCUUCAGGAGACAGCAUUUUCCUUAUUCACACAAAGCUUAUGCGUCUAUUUUAUCUGUAAGCGGAUCACCUGGCUGCUGUGAGAAUCAAUUGACGUGAUACUCUUAAGAAAACAUUGCCUGUCACAUAGUAACAGCUCAAAAAGUGUAGGGAAUGAUCUUGUCUUGAUUUCAAAUUCCUACUCCACCUGGGGAAACAGGGUUCAAGGAAGGAUGAAGGCGUGCACAGAAAUUUGUCUAGAAGAGGAGGGAGUGAGAACCGAAUCUGCUUGAGGCUGGCUUUCCUCUCCCCCCUCCCCCCAGCAACCUCUGUCUCCAACAACCGGUCCACAGCCAGCUUGCGGCAGAAACCAGAGCACAGACUGCAGGGGCCGGGUGAGUAGAGGCCAGACAACACUCCACCUGUCUGAGCUGGUUAUCACCAAACCGCAGGUGAGAACCCGGGAAAUAAGCCCUGCCCUAAAACACAGCAGCACCGGCCUUGCGGAGAAAAUUUCAUUUUCAGAUUAAGAAGCCUGAAUGUCCAUGUUCUGGACGGCAGGGGCUGAUGCAACACAACCUCCUCAAGAAAAAGAAAGCAUUUGUCUCCAAGUGCAAUUUAAAACCUUUAAAGCCUUUUCUUAUUUCUCCCUUAAAAAAAAAAAAAA
This 5698-nucleotide long non-coding RNA is filed under the name Sus scrofa (pig). RNAcentral describes it as "lncRNA (ENSSSCG00030035629.1)". The record is from RNAcentral. Lineage: Eukaryota; Metazoa; Chordata; Mammalia; Artiodactyla; Suidae.